This 255-nucleotide ribosomal RNA is filed under the name uncultured bacterium. RNAcentral describes it as "partial 16S ribosomal RNA". It matches the Rfam family "Bacterial small subunit ribosomal RNA", at positions 524 to 776 of the family's 1533-position model. The record is from RNAcentral.
UACGAAGGGUGCAAACGUUGCUCGGAAUUAUUGGGCGUAAAGCGCACGUAGGCGGCUUAGCAAGUCGGAAGUGAAAGCCCUCGGCUCAACCAAGGAAGUGCUUUCGAAACUGCUGAGCUUGAGUAGUUAAGAGGAUCGCGGAAUUCCCGGUGUAGAGGUGAAAUUCGUAGAUAUCGGGAGGAACACCAGUGGCGAAGGCGGCGAUCUGGGAACAUACUGACGCUGAGGUGCGAAAAGCGUGGGGGAGCAAACAGG